This is a long non-coding RNA of Perca fluviatilis (European perch), 371 nucleotides long. RefSeq lists it as uncharacterized. The record is from RefSeq and is a predicted model, not a curated record. The transcript has 2 exons. NCBI's taxonomy places the organism in Eukaryota, Metazoa, Chordata, Actinopteri, Perciformes, Percidae.
GGGACACUUGAUGGAAUUGAGCCAUCGUUAAGGUGAUCAAUUUCAGCUGUGCUUUUCCUACUAUGACAAGUCAAAAUGUCUGCUGUGAAAAAGGUCUAUUCCUGGGCAUGGCUCUCCACCGACGCCAGAUCGUUGCACCUACCAGUGUGACCUACACCUCGAGACCUGCUGCCAUGGCUUGCUGUGUCGCCAGCUCAUCACUCUCCUGUUUUUUUCUACCCUCUCAUUUGGAUUUAUGCUAGAGAGUUUGGACAUUCCUCUACCUGCCUGCCUCAGCCCCUUUCCAGCCCGGAGCUGACUUACUUUGCAUCAGCAUUCCUUGGUUGCUUUAAAGAACUGAAUUUUCAUUAAAACGUUUUGUUAUAUCGUUA